GGGCUUGUACUGGUUUCGACGGGGGUUUAGAAGUUUGGGAAGCCAUCCGCAGACCGUGACUGCGUCAUCAACAUGGAAAACCUAAAUAUAAACGCAGACGAUCAGUUAGCGUACGCUGCUUAAUUGCAGCUGUCGACCCUAGGCCGCUCACAGCUUAGGACCUCGGCAUCGUGAAAGUGGGGAACUUCGUCUCCUAAGCUUUGCAGAGAUGGAAGAAACGAUGAAGCUACUAAGCACAUAAGCCUGUCUUUGGGCGUUUGUGUAAGGGAAUGUUAAAACAAGGACUAUGAUGGAAGAAACCUGGAUGGAAGGGCUUUCGGACAGGGGUUCGAUUCCCCUCAGGUCCAU
RNAcentral lists this transfer-messenger RNA (348 nucleotides) under human gut metagenome. It matches the Rfam family "transfer-messenger RNA". From Rfam's summary of the family: Bacterial tmRNA, also known as 10Sa RNA or SsrA, is named for its dual tRNA and mRNA-like properties. Its role is to liberate the mRNA from a stalled ribosome. The record is from RNAcentral.